RNAcentral lists this long non-coding RNA (901 nucleotides) under Homo sapiens (human). RNAcentral describes it as "HSALNT0001049". The record is from RNAcentral. Lineage: Eukaryota; Metazoa; Chordata; Mammalia; Primates; Hominidae.
AUCUGCAGGGGCUGAUACAGGCAGAGUGGGCCGAGCCCAGGCAGGGCACCAUGCCACCCCCGCCGCAUCCUAGUCAUCCUAGCCCCAGGGGUAACACAGACCCCACCAUGAUGGGAGACUCCAUAGAACACCACACCUACAUUCAGGACUUAUCCCAGGAAAUGUCUCCCCUAGCCAGGUGCCCGGCAGCCCUCUCUAGGAGGCACCACCACAGAAGGAAGAGCCAGCCACGUGGGCGAUUCCAGGCAGAGUGCAGAGAAGGCCCUCGCUCUGGCUAGGAGUGGCCUGCAUGGGCUGGUGGGGGAGGCUGGUGGCAGCCAAGGCCGACGGGAGGGGAUUCGUGGACUGUCAGGCAGCAGAGGACUCCAGGCAGGGGGGCAGCUGAAUUGGCAACAUUCAAUUCUUCCAGGAAUAUUCUUGGAGAGCCUCUGGCAGGGAACAAAGACAAACUCCAUGUGUGGCAGGCGGACAGACAUGAAGGAGCUGAGAGGUGCUGUGGAGAACGGGAGUCCCAGGGAGGGUGAUUUGGGGAGUGGGAUGCAGGGGAGGCCUCUCAGAUGAAUGGGCAAUCAAAGCUCCUUCCCCACUGAGGCCGGGGAGUGAGCCACGUGGCUACCUAGGAGAAGAGCAUUCCAGGCAGAGGGAAAGGCAUGUGAAUGCCCCGAGGUGCAGCCUGCUGGACACAUUUGACAAGCAAGGAAAUGUGUGGCCAGAGCCACAGACCAGGGGAGGAGUCAGCAGAGGGGAGGUGGGAGCAGUGGCUCGGGCUUGGGGCCAUCCCAUGGACUCCAGCUGAAUGAUGUGGGAGCCACUGGAGGUCCUGCCUGGACUGGUGUGUUCACAGGGUGCUGUGUCUGCCAUGGGGUGGGGGGAUGGCAGGAGACAGUCAGGAGCCAUGGCA